Molecule: ribosomal RNA, 464 nt
Filed under: uncultured bacterium
Lineage: Bacteria
Description: bacterial SSU rRNA
Rfam family: Bacterial small subunit ribosomal RNA
Source: RNAcentral
AAUCAACGCUGGCGGCGUGCCUAACACAUGCAAGUCGAACGAGAAAGUGGAGCAAUCCACAAGUAAAGUGGCGCACGGGUGAGUAACACGUGACUAACCUACCCUUGAGUGGGGGAUAACCUAGGGAAACCUGGGCUAAUACCGCAUAAUACCUAUGGGUCAAAGGAGCAAUUCGCUUUUGGAGGGGGUCGCGGCAGAUUAGUUAGUUGGCAGGGUAAUGGCCUACCAAGACGAUGAUCUGUAUCCGGCCUGAGAGGGCGCACGGACACACUGGAACUGAAACACGGUCCAGACUCCUACGGGAGGCAGCAGUGGGGAAUUUUGCGCAAUGGGGGAAACCCUGACGCAGCAACGCCGCGUGGAGGAUGAAGACCCUUGGGUCGUAAACUCCUUUCGAUCGGGACGAUAUUGACGGUACCGGAAGAAGAAGCCCCGGCUAACUUCGUGCCAGCCGCCGCCGUAAU